GCGUAUAUUAAGUUGUUGCAGUUAAAAAGCUCGUAGUUGAAUUUCGGGAUCAAUACGUCGGUCAUGCCUCUGGUAUGUACUGGUGUUAUUGGUUUCUCCUUUCUGAGGAGCCAUGAUGUCAUUAAUUUGGUGUCGUGGGGAAUCAGGACUGUUACUUUGAAAAAAUUAGAGUGUUUAAAGCAGGCACGCGCUUGAAUACAUUAGCAUGGAAUAAUGAAAUAGGACGUUCGAUUCUAUUUUGUUGGUUUCUAGGAUCAACGUAAUGAUUAAUAGGGAUAGUUGGGGGCAUUAGUAUUCAAUUGUCAGAGGUGAAAUUCUUGGAUUUAUUGAAGACUAACUACUGCGAAAGCAUUUGCCAAGGAUGUUUUCAUUAAUCAAGAACGAAAGUUAGGGGAUCGAAGACGAUCAGAUACCGUCGUAGUCUUAACCAUAAA
RNAcentral lists this ribosomal RNA (434 nucleotides) under uncultured Glomus. Its description in RNAcentral is "SSU rRNA". It matches the Rfam family "Eukaryotic small subunit ribosomal RNA", at positions 597 to 1036 of the family's 1831-position model. The record is from RNAcentral. Lineage: Eukaryota; Fungi; Glomeromycota; Glomeromycetes; Glomerales; Glomeraceae.